Long non-coding RNA from Brassica oleracea var. oleracea, 929 nucleotides. RefSeq lists it as uncharacterized. The transcript has 3 exons. Lineage: Eukaryota; Viridiplantae; Streptophyta; Magnoliopsida; Brassicales; Brassicaceae. The record is from RefSeq and is a predicted model, not a curated record.
UCUUGGGAGAUUCCGCCGUCUCCAUCACACCCUCUCCAACACCAAGUCUUGUUACUGUUAAUCGUCCAGUUGUGAAAAGCUGAUUACGUUACGGAGUUUGGUAGAGUGUAAUCAUCGUAUUCAAAGCCGUUAUUAACCAUUCAUCACCACUCCUCACACGAUCUACCUUUCAAUGCAUCCCAUUUACUUCCUUUCUUGGAAUUUUCAAGUAUAAAUAGGCAACCCUCAUUCAAGCAACCGUGAUCUCGACCGUCUGAACACCUUCAAGCAUAUUUUCAAGGGGGGUUCAAUGUACUAAGUAAGCGUAAGCGGCUUUGAUGUUACCCGGAGCAGUUUGAAUUUCAAGCUGUCAGACACUCCUCUAUCGAUUCGAUUCAGUGAUUUAACCGCUUUUGCUGAGAUAACCCAACCUGUUAGUCCAAUUCAUGAGGACCGUUCCCAAUUCUGUAAUAAUGAUGAGCUGAUAGGCCUAGCAAACAUCAAGACCCAUUUUUCAGCAACUGAUGCAGAAAAUUGCAGAGUUGGUACCGAGAUAUCCAUAAUAAGUGAAGAACUCAGAAUCUCAGAAAGUGACGUAUCAGGAACUUCAUGCCACAAAUUCAACCGCCGCAACUUCUUCAAAGUCAGACAAAGGUGGGAAGAAGAAGAGAUAAGCAAGUCCUUUCCAUCUCUCUUUAAUUUUACUGGACAUCGCAUCAGAUUCUAUGGUUUGUUAAUGUCCAAAACUCCUGCUGAAACACAAGUUGUGUUUGUUGAUGUAAAAGAGUUUGUUGGUUUCAUCACUGUGCCCUUGCCUUUUUUUCCGUCGUCAUGUCAAUAGACAAAAUGUUAAAAACAAAGGGAACAUAACGUCUUUCUUUUGUUACUGUAUUGUCGACGUCUUUCUUUUUUUCCUCCGCGGACGAUCAGAAACACUUGUGUAUUUCUAU